UGCUUACCUGUAUUUCAGAUGUGUAAGC
RNAcentral lists this non-coding RNA (28 nucleotides) under Rattus norvegicus (Norway rat). The record is from RNAcentral. Lineage: Eukaryota; Metazoa; Chordata; Mammalia; Rodentia; Muridae.